GUGCCAGCCGCCGCGGUAAUACGGAGGAUGCAAGCGUUAUCCGGAAUGAUUGGGCGUAAAGCGUCCGCAGGUGGCGAUGUAAGUCUGCUGUUAAAGAGUGAGGCUCAACCUCAUAAGAGCAGUGGAAACUACAUAGCUAGAGUACGUUCGGGGCAGAGGGAAUUCCUGGUGUAGCGGUGAAAUGCGUAGAGAUCAGGAAGAACACCAGUGGCGAAGGCGCUCUGCUAGGCCGUAACUGACACUGAGGGACGAAAGCUAGGGGAGCGAAUGGGAUUAGAUACCCCAGUAGUCCUAGCCGUAAACGAUGGAUACUAGGCGUGGCUUGUAUCGACCCGAGCCGUGCCGUAGCUAACGCGUUAAGUAUCCCGCCUGGGGAGUACGCCGCAACGGUGAAACUCAAAGGAAUUGACGGGGGCCCGCACAAGCGGUGGAGUAUGUGGUUUAAUUCGAUGCAACGCGAAGAACCUUACCAAGGCUUGACAUGUCGCGAAUCUUCUUGAAAGGGAAGAGUGCCUUCGGGAGCGCGAACACAGAUGGUGCACGGCUGUCGUCAGCUCGUGUCGUGAGAUGUUGGGUUAAGUCCCGCAACGAGCGCAACCCUCGUUUUUAGUUGCCAGCAUUAAGUUGGGCACUCUAGAGAGACUGCCGGUGACAAACCGGAGGAAGGUGGGGAUGACGUCAAGUCAGCAUGCCCCUUACGCCUUGGGCUACACACGUACUACAAUGCUCCGGACAGAGGGCAGCAAGCAUGCGAAUGCAAGCAAAUCCCGUAAACCGGAGCUCAGUUCAGAUCGCAGGCUGCAACUCGCCUGCGUGAAGGAGGAAUCGCUAGUAAUUGCAGGUCAGCAUACUGCAGUGAAUUCGUUCCCGGGCCUUGUACACACCGCCCGUCACACCAUGGAAGCUGGUAGUGCCCGAAGUCAUUACUCCAACCUUUCGGGGGGGAGGAUGCCUAAGGCAGGACUGGUGACUGGGGUGAAGUCGUAACAAGGUAACC
This 997-nucleotide ribosomal RNA is filed under the name uncultured bacterium. Its description in RNAcentral is "bacterial SSU rRNA". It matches the Rfam family "Bacterial small subunit ribosomal RNA", at positions 505 to 1501 of the family's 1533-position model. The record is from RNAcentral.